RNAcentral lists this ribosomal RNA (253 nucleotides) under uncultured bacterium. RNAcentral describes it as "partial 16S ribosomal RNA". It matches the Rfam family "Bacterial small subunit ribosomal RNA", at positions 524 to 776 of the family's 1533-position model. The record is from RNAcentral.
UACGGAGGGUGCGAGCGUUAAUCGGAAUCACUGGGCGUAAAGCGCGCGUAGGCGGCUUGUUAAGUCAGAUGUGAAAGCCCCGGGCUCAACCUGGGAAUUGCAUUUGAAACUGGCAGGCUAGAGUGCAGUAGAGGAAGGUGGAAUUCAGGGUGUAGCGGUGAAAUGCGUAGAUAUCCUGAGGAACACCGGUGGCGAAGGCGGCCUUCUGGACUGACACUGACGCUGAGGUGCGAAAGCGUGGGGAGCAAACAGG